Molecule: long non-coding RNA, 752 nt
Filed under: Helianthus annuus (common sunflower)
Lineage: Eukaryota; Viridiplantae; Streptophyta; Magnoliopsida; Asterales; Asteraceae
Source: RNAcentral
UUUAAGCUUUAUGUGGAUGCUCCUCGUUUAGCUUGAGGGGACGUAUUAGAGUGUUUACAUAGAGUUAGAUAUUUUAGUUUGUUAUUACUUUGUUAUGUUUGUUCCACCCCUUCUUCUAUAUAUGAUGAUAUAUAUGGGGGUUUCCAUUGUAUGAUUGUGAUUGAUGAUAUGAGAUCAGAUUAGUUUGAGCAUGAUCCUUACCAUUAGUUUCUUUAAUUAAUCGGUGUCCAUGGUGAAGUCGGUCUGUUCAAAGUAAGAAGUUUUUUUUCUUUUUUGUGGGUGUUUUUGGUUCGAUGGUUGGACUGUUCGAGUACUUGUGGUAUGAAUAGGGGUUGGUCUAAUCAAAAGGGAAAUCAACAACCACUAGCGAUUUAGGGGUUGCAUUUGAAUCUAAGUUGAAGACCCAAAUCGAAUACGACAAUCUAUUCAGACAUAUAUGUUCAAGCAAGACACUGUUUAUGGCUACUGAAAGCAUCAUGAACUUGAGAUCAGGAUGCCAACAUCCUUUUACUUGGAACCCAAAUAAGGACAAGGCUCUCCUAGAGCUAACUUUGUGGUUGACUUCGCUAGAGUCUUCACAAAUAAGGACAAGGCUGCUGCACACUUGAAGUUCGCAUUGGUUUUUCGCUUUUUUUUAAAUUCAGUUAUGUUUUAUUAUUAUGAAUGGAUACAAUGGGCCGGUUCAUUAAAAACUUAUAUUAACAAAGAUAUUAGUUAUAUAUAUUAUGAUACUUAGCCCGUGUAAUACACGG